GAGUCGCACAAAAGAAACGAACAUCAGGAUGAUGGCGUUUCUACAGGACGCACCGGGAAGGUGUUACAAGGAAAGGCUUCAGGAUGAAGCACAAGGACCACGCAGGAACGCGUUAAAGGACACCUCCAGGAAGGAGAACGAGAGCCGGUCAGGAUGGUCGGUGGGUCAGGAAGGCCAGGACGCUUCAGGAUGAAGUAUUCACAUCGGGAUGAUGUGAGCAGGAUGCAAACGUUCAGGAUGAGCAACGGGUCGCAAGGCCGCUGGAAAAGUUGUCAAGGAUGAGCAGGGAGCACCAAAAGUAGCCGGAAUGCUGCGAAACGAACCGGGAGCACUGUUUUUACAGUGCUCCCUUUUUUUAUU
RNAcentral lists this non-coding RNA (360 nucleotides) under Citrobacter rodentium ICC168. The record is from RNAcentral. Lineage: Bacteria; Pseudomonadati; Pseudomonadota; Gammaproteobacteria; Enterobacterales; Enterobacteriaceae.